AAAACCCAAAACCCUCCUUUCUACUCUCUCAUUCGAUUAAAAACCAAAGGAAAAAAAAAAAAAAAACAGACAUUCAUCUUCUUCCUCAAACCCCUCUUUUCCCAAAUCUCUUCUCAGAUUCUUUAUGGAAGUCGAAGGAAAAACCAACAAAUUUCGAUUUACCCUUGCCUCUUUUGAUUACGACUAUGGCGACCAAUCUUUGAAGGCUUUCGAACCUCAGCAACUACAGCCUUUGGUUCUUUCUUCUUUUCCGUGAGUGAACACAUCAAUAAAAUUACUUUGGGUAUCUUGUUUCCAAUAUUUUCUUGUGAAAUCUAGCAAUUAAAAACACAUUUUGGUAUUCAUCAAUCGUCGCUUCACCUUGGAGACGACAUCAUCGAGGAACCCUUCUAGUGAUUGCGGAGUACUAGACUUAGCUUCUUGAAGCGUUCUUUUUGUUUGUCUACAGAUCAAAACCAGACGGGAAUAAUGGAUUAGCGAAGGUGAUUAGUGGUUCCAAGGAAGUAUAUUGAGCUGAGCACUUAGGAAUUUAUAGUUUUGUAUUAGGAUUUUGGAUAAAUGUAAAUUUGAUUUGGUUAUGUUGGUUAUAUUGAACUUGUAGAAAAUUGUAUGAUUAUCCUUUGCUUUAGUUUAAUGUUUGUUUUAAGAUAUAGAUGAGUUAGUUACGUUAAAGAGCUGGUGAGUCCUUUACUCAAGUUUUGGAAGUGUGAUUUCAGUUUCUUGGGAAAUGAACCCCGUGACGAUCCUGUUUACUCAGUCAACGGUAAGUCGGGUUGUUACAAUUAAACUAUAUAAAUACAUGGUUUCGUAUAUUUAGAGUUAAUAAUCAACGGUCAAUGUUUAUUUAACUAUUUUUAAUCGAAUUAGAUGAAAAUUGAUAGAACUUUAUAAUUUUAAUAUAUGGUUAAAUAAGUAAAAGUAACAAAGUAAUAAUGAUCACUAAUUGAUUUGCAUUUUAACUAUUUUGCUUUAAGUAAAGGUAAUUUUAUCAUCAAUUAAAAAAUAACUAACAACUUAAUCUAAUACUGACUCGACUGAUAGUAAUUAGUAGCCGAAUUCUACUUGAAAAAUACCCGAACUCGAUCUGUACCCGGUAAAAUCGAACCAAUUAUUAACCCAUGACAACCGGAGACCGAUUGACACUCGACACGUAUUUCAAUCGAUACCAAACUGAUGUUAACCUGAUAGCUCGAAUAACCGAUCUUCAACAAAACCGUGACUAACCGACCCGAACCGAGUGACCUGUCGCAUCCGAAAAAUAACCGAUCAAAAAUACCAUCGAACCGAAUGACAUCCGUUCGAAUCCGACCCAAUCAUCCAAAUGA
Long non-coding RNA from Amaranthus tricolor (Joseph's coat), 1325 nucleotides. RefSeq lists it as uncharacterized. The transcript has 3 exons. The record is from RefSeq and is a predicted model, not a curated record. NCBI's taxonomy places the organism in Eukaryota, Viridiplantae, Streptophyta, Magnoliopsida, Caryophyllales, Amaranthaceae.